UGCCUUGAGAUCGGAGUGCUUGCACUCUGUGAAACAAGAUACAGGCUAGCGGCGGACGGGUGAGUAACACGUGGGUAACCUGCCCAAGAGAUCGGGAUAACACCUGGAAACAGAUGCUAAUACCGGAUAACAACAGAUGAUGCCUAUCAACUGUUUAAAAGAUGGUUCUGCUAUCACUCUUGGAUGGACCUGCGGUGCAUUAGCUAGUUGGUAGGGUAACGGCCUACCAAGGCGAUGAUGCAUAGCCGAGUUGAGAGACUGAUCGGCCACAUUGGGACUGAGACACGGCCCAAACUCCUACGGGAGGCAGCAGUAGGGAAUCUUCCACAAUGGACGCAAGUCUGAUGGAGCAACGCCGCGUGAGUGAAGAAGGGUUUCGGCUCGUAAAGCUCUGUUGUUGGUGAAGAAGGACAGGGGUAGUAACUGACCUUUGUUUGACGGUAAUCAAUUAGAAAGUCACGGCUAACUACGUGCCAGCAGCCGCGGUAAUACGUAGGUGGCAAGCGUUGUCCGGAUUUAUUGGGCGUAAAGCGAGUGCAGGCGGCUCGAUAAGUCUGAUGUGAAAGCCUUCGGCUCAACCGGAGAAUUGCAUCAGAAACUGUCGAGCUUGAGUACAGAAGAGGAGAGUGGAACUCCAUGUGUAGCGGUGAAAUGCGUAGAUAUAUGGAAGAACACCGGUGGCGAAGGCGGCUCUCUGGUCUGUUACUGACGCUGAGGCUCGAAAGCAUGGGUAGCGAACAGGANNNGAUACCCUGGUAGUC
RNAcentral lists this ribosomal RNA (761 nucleotides) under uncultured bacterium. RNAcentral describes it as "bacterial SSU rRNA". It matches the Rfam family "Bacterial small subunit ribosomal RNA", at positions 60 to 795 of the family's 1533-position model. The record is from RNAcentral.